UGAUUUUCCAUGGGGAAAAAAGCAAAACCAAAAAGCACCAUGGUGCUUUUAGAGGCAGAGAUGUCACCUUUCUUUGCAGCUUCCCCAGCCAGCUCGGGGACUAGGACUUCCCAGUUCCUUCUCUUCUUGAAGUCUGGUUAACCUGCUGCUGACCCCGCUGCAACCCAGGCCAGCAAGAAAGAAAGCAGUAUAUUUUCACUAAAAAAGAAAAAGGGAAAAAAAAGUUAGACUACUCACAAAGUACUAUACUUGAGAUAUGUUAUAGGUUUUAAUCACCUCUGAGGCCCUAACCUCUGUUUGUGUUAUUAUUUCAAGAGGAAGAAGAUUUUUCCAAACAAAUUUUAUAUAAAAUAUAUUAGGCAGAUCUGUAUUCUAUACUGUCAUAUUUGAAGAUAAAUUUGCAUAUUUAAACAUGAUUCUAAGGGGAAAAUAACCUGCUGAGUAUUGCUGCAUUGGUGUGUUGCAUAUAAAAAAUUACGUUUGCACUUUACAAUUUAUUUACAAAUUAACUUUUCACUGAGAUGGGGCAUGAAGAUCAUCAAAAGUAAUAAUUAAAGAAUGAAUUGUGGAUAAUGGACAUGUACAAACCCAAGACAUUAUCCAUCAAAAGGAUUAAAGUUGAGGGUCAGAGGUAGAAAAUUCACAGCUGUGUUGCCUUCUUCAAACCCCAAGAAAGUCAAACUGGCUCGAGUAACCCCUGCUCUGCUGGACCCAGAGGGGUUCCUGCAUGUAAAAGAAUAACUCCUAAGGAACAAAGAUUCUCUCUUAUUUCCUAUUAUCCAGCAGCUCCUGGCCAGAGCUAAGCCUAUUAAUUUUUGGACUAAAAAUAAAUAUGCUUUGAGAACAAAUCAUUGUGUUUUUCCUCCCUCUUGUAAUCUGAAAAUAUGUACCAGGAUGGGAGGUACUGAGCAGAAUACUUAACUGCCUCAAAUCUGUUACUAACCAGGUACAGUGAGAGGGGAACUCCCCAUCUGCCUGUGACUCUCUGACUCCUUUUUCCAUGAA
Non-coding RNA from Ceratotherium simum simum (southern white rhinoceros), 1005 nucleotides. The record is from RefSeq and is a predicted model, not a curated record. Lineage: Eukaryota; Metazoa; Chordata; Mammalia; Perissodactyla; Rhinocerotidae.